AUUUCUGGGAUCUUUUAUUUCAGUUCAUGAAACAUGGAAACAACACUUUACAUCUUGUGUUUAGUAUAGAUGGGUGUACAUAAUAAACUGGCCACUGAGUGUAUAGUUACCACUAGGAAAUAUAAUAUGCCUUCACAGUAUUGAAAUACACACCAAUUAAAUAUCCCUUGCACUAAGGUAAGGUAUAAACAAAAACAACCAUUGUACAGUUUUAUUAUUGUAUUUUAAGAGGAAGACAUCUCAACUCGGUUUCAAUAAAAACUCAAGUUCCUGUCUGGAAAAUGAACAAAACACAAUCCUCGAUCAACCCAGACCGGCCUUAGGCUAAUAACAUACAGACAUACAUCUCUGUAUGUUCGUUGGUCUGAGGGUAGCUAAUUAUACGAGCAGGGUCUAUCUGCAGACUGCGUUUACUAUAUGCUGUGCCCACUACGCUUCACUUACUACAUGCCACGCCCCCUGCGACGCCGUUGAGGCUGCUACACCGGCACGCACUGUCGUUCACCCCCGCCUGCUAGCAUGUACCAGGUAGUGUCACGCAGGAAUAGGGUUGGCUGCGCAAGCUACUUCCCAUAACGUUAACAGAACUGCGGGAAAGCAGUGCUUGGCAGGCGGGGGCGAAGGACACUACCAGUUCCCCCUAGCCUAGCUAGCAGCCUCCUCAUUCGUUGGGGUGAUUGGCAUCCAACGUUGGUGCAUUAACGCCACCUACUGUGCUGGAGUGUGGGCCAGAGACGGCGCUAGCUACACUGCCACAGAUAAAAGCUUUGUUACAUACAUCUUGAACAACUUUGAUAGGUGAGGAAGAUGGCGGAAACUGAGUUUGUUGGUGUUUUCAAUUUGAAUUUGUUCGGCGAAGGGAAAUGGCGGCGAGUAGUGCAGAUUAAAGUGGGGAAAUUGAGAAAAAGAUGGUGACGCAACAGCUGUGCUGGAAUGUGAACAAUAUGGAUGAUACUUCGAGAACACAAACUCGCAUCUUUCACAGCAAAGGGCGAGGGAGUCCAGGGGAUGACUGGAGGAGCAAUGGCGGAAAUAUUUUGCGAUUCUCUUGGCCUAAGUACAGUUGGUGAGAAUGAGUGGACGUUGGUGAAAAAGAGGAGAUUGAAAAGGGCUAAAGUUGGAAAUGCACAGCAGUUUAUGGUUUCAGUGCGAUUCACAAAUUGUUUUUUGGGGUGACCUGUUUGCUGUCUCAAAGAUGGUGAAGUGGAAUCGGUUCGAGUGACCAGGAGCGGUAUGAUGCUGAGGUUCAUUUGUGUCAACAGCGCAAAAGUAGGUGGCUCCUGUAAUACCUGCAUGCUUCAAGCAGACCACCAUAGUCCCUGUGGCCAAGAAAGCGAAGAUAACCUGCCUAAAUGAAUACCGCCCCAUAGCACUCACAUUGGUAGCCAUGAAGUUUUUUGAAAGGCUGGUCAUGGCUCACAUCAACACCAUCAUCCCGGAAACCCUAGACUCACUCCAACUCGCAUACUACCCCAACAGAUCCACAGAUGAUGCAAUCUCAAUCGCACUCCACACUGCUCUUUCCCACCUGGACAAAAGGAACACCUAUGUGAGAACGCUGUUCACUGACUACAGCUCAGCAUUCAACACCAUAGUGAUGAGCUUUGUGGGCACUAAGCUAAGGACCCUGGGACUGAACACCUCCCUCUGCAACUGGAUGCUGGACUUCCUGACGGGUUACCCCCAGGUGGUAAGGGUAGGCAACAACACAUCUGCUAAGCUGAUCCUCAACACGCGGGCCCCUCAGGGUUGCCUGCUUUGUUCACCCACGACUGCGUGCCAAGCACAACUCCAACACCAUCAUUAAGUUUGCUGAUGACACAACAGUGGUAGGCCUGAUCACCUACAAUGAUGAGACAGCCUAUAGGGAGGAGGUCAGAGACCUGGCAGUAUGGUACCAGGACAACAACCUCUCAAUCAACGUGAGCAAGACAAAGAAGAUGAUUGUGAACUACAGGAAAAGGGGGACUGAACACGCCCCCAUUCACAUCGACAAGGCUGUAGUGAAGUGGGUCGAGAGUUUCAAGUUCGUUGGUGUCAACAUCACCAACAAACUUAUGGUCCAAACACACCAGGAAAGUUGUGACGAAGGCAUGACAACACCUCUUCCCCCUCAGGAGACUGAAAAUAUUUGGCAUGGGUCCCCAGAUCCUCAAAAAGUUCCACAGCUGCACCAUCGAGAGCAUCCUGACUGUUAUGGCAACUGCUCGGCCUCCGACCUUAAGGCACUACAGAGGGUAGUGCGUACAGCCCAGUACAUCACUGGGGCCAAGCUUCCUGCCAUCCAUUUUUAAUCAUUCAACCUUUUUGUGUAGUUUUAGGCAGGGAAGCGGGUAAAAUGAAAGAGAUGGUUUGGGAUGAGUUGGACCGCAGAGUGAAGGAAAAGCAGCCAACAAGUGCUCAGCAUAUGUGGGAAAUCCUUCUAAACUGUUGGGGGGAAAAAAAUCCAGGUGAAGCUUGUUGAGAGAAUACCAAGUGUGUGCAAAGUUGUCAUCAAGGCAAAGGGUGGCUACUUUGACGACUCUCAAAUAUACAAUAUAUUUUUAUUUGUUUUUGGUUACUACAUGAUUCAAUAUGUGUUAUUUCAAAAUGUUGAUGUCUUCACUAUUAUUCUACAAUGUAGACAAUAGUAAAAAUAAAGAAAAACCCUGGAAUGGGUAGGUGACCUAACUUUUGACUGGUACUGUAUGUAAACUGUUAAAUAUGUAUAUUAGAAGGGUUAUGGGAAAAGAUGGUGUCAGUAACUCAUUAGGACAGCAGAUUGCACCAGAGGAAAGACGCCUAGUAGAGCUACAGUUGACCAUUUCUUUUGGAUUCAUAUAUAAAAAUAUAUAUAUUUCACCUUUAUUUAACCAGGUAGGCCAGUUGAGAACAAGUUCUCAUUUACAACUGCAACCUGGCCAAGAUAAAGCAAAGCAGUGUGACAAAGAGUUACACGUGGGAUAAACAAAACUACAGUCAGUAACACAAUAGAAAAAUCUAUAUACAGUGUGUGCAAAUGGCAUAAGGGGGGUAAGGCAAUAAAUAGGCCAUAGUAGCGAAGUAAUUACAAUUUAGCAAAUUAACACUGGAGUGAUAGAUGUGCAAGUAGAAAUACUGGUGUGCAAAAGAGGGGGAAAAAGUAAAUAAAAACAAUAUGGGGAUGAGGUAGGUAAUUUGGCCAUUUCUACUGUUUCUUUUGGAUUUAAUUUGCAUGUUGCUACUUAUUUUGUAUUUAGGGAUUUUACCUUUUUGCCAUUCAUAUCACUUGGAACAUAUUUAACCUAAUCUGGAUUACAAUGCUUUCUUUUACCACUUACCAACCUGGAAUCUGUGACAAACAAUGGACAAUUCACUUGUGAGUAAUAAAUACAUUUGAACUGCAACAGCAACUUUCCUUUCGUCUAUGGAAACGCGUAAGGAACCAAAACUGUAUUUAGGCGUUUAUAGAAGUGAGCCUUUUAGCAUCUGGAACUUCAGCCAUAAAUUACUUUGUCUCUAAAGUGUUCCACUGCAUUGUGUGUGUUUCACACCUCUGUUUGUAAAUGUAUGCAGUCACUCUGGAUAAGUGUCUACAAAAUGCUGAACUAGGAUCUGUCCAUAUAAUCCUAUUCACUAUGAUCUAAAAUAGCACUAGUACUCCGAGAUGCUUUGUGGAUACGGGCCCAGAUGUUACUGUGCAAGACAGGUGAGCUUGGAGAAGUCUGGCUAACUUUCUAACUCUUGCAGUAGGCUCUCGUCCCCCACUGGACAUAGGGGAGGAUCGUAUACGCAGGAGUUAGAGACAAACUCUGUAAAUGUCUGAGGGCUGUGAGAUGGUGUGCUAAAAGUCCCCAGCAGGGAAUUGUAACACAAAUUUUAGGCUCGGCGUUAUCUUUUAGUAUACAGUUUUUAUAUUACAGUAAUGUGGUCUAGUAAAAUUUGUCAACUGUAAUGAUGUAUCUUAUAGCACUAUUUAGGGCUCCCAAGUGGCACAGCGAUCUAAGGCACUGCAUCUCAGUGCUAGAGGCGUCACUACAGACACCCUGGUUUGAAUCCAGGCUGUAUCACAACCGGCCGUGAUUGGGAGUCCCAUAGGGCGGCGCACAAUUGGCCCAGCUUCAUCCGGGUUUGGCUGGUGUAGGCCAAGACGUUUACACAGAUCAGACAUGGACAGAGUAUGGUUAGCUCGGUUUCAAGGGUGUUUAUUAAAUAAUAAAUCAAAAGAAAAGGAUAGGUCUCCCCCAUGAGACCCUCUCCGGGAUACCGUCUUCUGGGCUCCGGGUCUGGCUGUAUCCUGUCCGGCACACAAACUCAACUCCCUCGUCUUAGCUCGGGCCCCAUCUCCAACUACACGGAAGUCACCUUACUUCCCCCAGUCCUUUCCUGUGUGUUGCCCUUCUGGCAGCUUUAUGGGGCUUGUACAGCUGGUGAGCAAUCAGCCCUUGAUUACUCACCAACUCCCCAAUCAGCCCCAAUUAGUCCUGGGCAGAGAGCCCGUCGAGACCUGGCACGUCCAGCAGAUGGAGCCAUCGCCUCGAUGUAUACUCCAUCUGUCACCAGGCCUCGACAAGGCUGAUCUGCUGUACUCCACCCCCCCCCCCUUAGCUCUGUCGGGGAGGGGACUGUCGUCAGUGCAACGUACGUCUCCCUUCUCGAUAGGGCAUCCGCAUUUCCACGUUUCGCCCCUGACCUGUGCACAACAGAAAAAGAGAAGCGUUGAAGGGACAAGAACCACCUGGUAACCCGAUCAUUUGUGUCCUUUCCCCUGGCCAUCCAAACCAGGGGAGCAUGGUCCGUGACCAGGGUGAAGUGGGUACCCAACAGGUAAUACUUGAGUGUUCAGUGCCCACUUCACCGCUAGACACUCUUACUCCACAAUGGAGUACCUUUUCUCUCUAGGAACCAGCUUUCUGCUGAUGUACAUGGAGUGCUCCUCCCCAUCGUGUAUCUGGGACAGAACGGCGCCUAGUCCCGUAUCACACGCAUCCAUCUGGACCACCAUCGGCACCUGGAAAUAGGGCGUUACGAGAAUCGGAUGGGAGCACAGCGCUUCCUUCAGACGGCUGAACGCCGCUUCUGUCUCGUUCGUCCAUUUCACUGUUUUCGGGAGACGGGCCCUGGUUAGAUCGGUGAGGGGGGAAGCAAUAGCCGCAAAGUUGGGGAUAAAUCGACUAUAGUAUCCUGCCAGUCCCAGGAAGGACUUGACCUGUGUCUUGGUGAGUGGAACGGGCCAGUUCCACUCCUCUCCUGGGGCUUGACGUUCCCCCGUCCGAUCAAAUACCCCAGGUACUCCACCUCCUCGAAACCUAGUUUGCACUUCUUGGGGUUCGCGGUCAACCUGGUUUGUCUGAGCGCAUCCAGCACCGCCAGGAGGCGCGUCAAGUGCUCUUCCCAACCUUGGCUGUGGAUGAUGAUGUCAUCCAAAUAGGCCGCUGCGUACUGCUGGUGGGGUUGAAGUACUUUGUUCAUCAGCCAUUGGAAUGUGGGCGGGGCUCCGUGGAGACCGAACGGGAGCACCCGGUACUGAUACAACCCGUCUGGUGUCGAAAAUGCAGUCUUCUCCUGGGAGGAGGCUGCCAACGGUACCUGCCAAUAUCCUUUGGUCAGGUCAAGGGUGAUGAUGUACCGGGCCUUUCCCAAUCGGUCGACGAGCUCGUCCACACUCGGCAUGGGAUAUGCGUUGAACAAGCUGUCGUUGUUCACCCCCCGGAAAUCGUUACAGAAGCGGAGGCUACCGUCUGGUUUUGGCACCAACACAAUGGGGCUGCACCAUGCACUGUGGGACUCUUCAAUGACCCCCAUCCUCAGCAUAGCCUCCACUUCCUGCUUCACGGCCUUCCUUCGGGCCUCCGGAAUCCGAUAUGUCGUCUUUCUUACUGUUUCGCCGGGCCGGGUACGGAUGUGAUGUUCAAUGAGGGUCGUGCUGCCUGGCUUCUCGGAGAACACCGCUGUGUUCCGAUCGACAAGCUCACUGAGCUCUUGCUUCUGGGCCGGGUCGAGGUCCUCAUUGCUCGGGACCACCACUGGUCCCGUUGGUGUCCUGGGUCCCGACCAUAAUACGGCCAAGGCUGUCCUCUCGUGCCACUUCUUCAAAAGGUUCACGUGGUAAAUCUGUUGAGGUUUCUGUCUCCCCAGUUGCUGUACGCGGUAAUUGACAGGUCCCAUCUUCUCGACCACCUCGUAUGGUCCGUGACAUGUUGCCAGGAACUUACUUUUGGCCGUGGGGAUUAAGACCAGCACGCUGUCUCCCACCUGGAAUUCUCGGGGCUGGGCUCCCCGAUUGUAGACCUGGGCGCGUUGGGCCUUCUCCAUAUGUUCCCUCACGACGGGCCAUAAGGCUGCAUCCUCUCCCUCAUCGUCUCCACGUGCUCUACCACGCUGCGUAAUGGGGUUGGUUGGGCUUCCCACACCUCCUUUGCGAGGUCCAGUAGGCCACGUGGCCUCCUCCCGUAGAGGAGUUUGAACGGGGAAAACCCAGUGGAGGAUUGGGGUACUUCUCUGAUUGAGAACAUUAGGUGGGGUAGUAGCUGGUCCCAGUUCUUCCCGGUCUGCUCGAUGACCUUCCGCAGCAUCUGUUUGAGCAUUUUAUUAAAGUACUCGACGAGCCCAUCCGUCUGCGGGUGAAAAACAGAGGUCCAGAUCUGCAUGAUCUGCAGGAGGGCACAACUCUCAUGAGGCGGGACAUAAACUCCGUACCUUGGUCUGUCAAGAUCUCGUUUGGGGUGCCCACCCAGCUAAAGAGCUGGAACAGCUCCCGGGCGAUUCCCUUGGAUACCGCCGCCCGUAGGGGAAUGGCCUCAGGAUACAGGGUGGAAUAAUCUACUAAUCACCAGGAUGUACCGGUGUCCUCGUGCUGUUUUUACCAGGGGUCCCACUAUGUCCAUGGUGAUGCGUUCAAAGGGCACCCCGAUGAUCGGUAGGGGGACCAAUGGGCUUCGGAAGUGGGCUUUCGGGGCCGUGAGUUGACACUCCGGGCAGCUGCGACAGUCUUCCACGGCCCUCCUCAUCCCGGGCCAGUGGAACCGGGCGGCGAUCCGUUCCCGGGUCUUCUCCAUUCCCAAGUGCGCCCCCAACAGGUGGGUGUGGGCCAGCUGAAGAACGGUUCCCACAUACCGUCGGGGCAGCAACAAUACCUCUAAGUUCCCCCUGUUGGCAAGACACCUGAUACAAAAGGUUAUUCUUGAUUUGGAAAUGGGGGUAUCGCCAGUCACUCAGCCCCGGAAGUAGCUGUCCAUCCACCGCUAUCACUUGGGCUGCGGCGGCUUUCAAGUUAGGAUCCUCCCACUGGGCUGUCCCGAAUUGUCCCCUCAGUUGGCCCCCAGUGGGGGUCUCGACUGGCCCCUCAAAAUCGAGGGGGAGGCUGGGCUCCUCCUCCAGGGGUUCCCAAGGGGGUUCGGGUUCCGGCACCCCCUCUGACUCCGACUCCGGAGCCGUAGACACCUGCUGGUUAACCGGUUGCUUCUGGUCCGCACAGGCUAUUGGUCGUCCCCACUCUCUUCUUCGGCCGUCUCAUACCUUCUUCCUCAACUCGUGCCCCCAUAGGGCCGCGAACAGCGGACAAUCCCGUUCCACUAGGAGAGGUACAGGCUCUGGCACUGCACCCACCGUCAUCUGGCAGCUCCCUUGUGGCGUCACGAUGUUGGUCCAUACGGUUGGAUACUGCUUUGUGUCACCGUGAACACAGGAAAUGGACAUCUCCCUACACCUUUCGGUCUCCUGAUUCAGCAGGCUCGUGGUUACGAGCGUAACCAUACUUCCGGAGUCCAAUAGCGCUUCCGUGUCGUGUCCGUCAACCUUCACUGGGACCAUGGGUGCAAUUGAGUCGGGGUGCGCCCAACAGGAGGUGACAUAGUUCACGACGUGACCCACCUCGCCUCCGGGGCUUGCUGAUGGCAUCGACUCCUCUCGAGCCGGGCAAUUCCAGGCAAUGUGCCCCCGGGCACCACACUCAAAACACCUCCUUUGGUCUCCAUCUACCUGGGGUCGUCGGUGACGGGUCGAACCUACCCCAGCCGUUUCUUCACGGGUUUGCCCUGAAGAACUGUCGGUGCCGACUGUCGGUUCGGGGUACACUGUGGUGGGGCUGUCCUUCCGUCCCCUCGGACAGGUCGCCGACUCGUCCCGGCUCCCACUCAGCAGGGCCUGCGUAUUAUUAUGCGUCUCCACUGCUUCCAGGAGGCCCUCCAAGGUCUGGGGCGCGCAUAGACUCGCUGCCCUCUUCAUGUCGUGGGGUAGCGCCCGUAAGAAGCGAUCCAGGACUAUUUUGUCGAGGAUGGAGAGGGUGGAUACGUCAGUUAGGAGCCAUGCCCUGGUGACGCGCAGUAGGUCGCUCAUCUGGGCUUGGGGGGGAUGCGUCGGCUACGAACCUCCAGUCGUGGAACCGUUGAGUCCGAUGGGCCAGGCUGUACCCGUAGCGACUGAGUAUCUCCCGUUUGAGUCCGUCGUAAUUAGCCGCCUGUUCGUCGUUCAGGUCCCAAUACGCCUUUUGGGCAUUCCCACAUGUUGCGUUUAUAUUUUUGUUCAGUGUAAAAUUGUCCCAUACAAUAAGGGGAUCCGCUGUAUCUAUGUUAUAUAGGGGAAAAGUAGUAAAUUAUUCUCUUGGUUAAAAACAAUUUGUUGUCCAUUAAGCUUUGAUUUAAAGUUCCAAUAUUCUCACCUUAAUGUAAAUUCUGUAAGUGUAAUGUGUAUACCAAUUAUUUGAUGGUCUGACCGCAUUCUGUCCCUUAUCAACACAACUUUUGGUGCCAGCGACAAUUACAUAAGUAGUCAAGACGACUAGCUUGAUUGAUCCUUCGCCAUGUUUAUCUCACUAGGUCAGGAUAUGUAAGCCUCCAUAUAUCCACUAGUUCAGAUAUAUGCAUAAUAUUCAUAAUUUCUUUAAGAGCAUGAGGGUGAUAUUUUGUAGUGCGACUUCCUUUACAGUCCAUUGAGGUACUUAAAACCGUAUUAUAAUCCCCCACAAUAAUAAUUGAGCCAUGUAUUGCCUGUAAAGUCGAUAAAUUAUAUAGCAUCAUUAUUUGGACCAUAUAGAUUGAGACAAAUCUGUUAAUGGUCCAAUAGCCUAUUUAAAAGGAUCCACCUUCCUUGCGGAUCUGUUUGAACAGUUUGCGCAUUCAGAUCAAACUUCCUGUUAAUUAAUAUCAUCACUCCUUUUGAGUUUCUUUGCCCAUGGGAGAAAUACAUUUUACAACCCGCCCCCCAGUCAUUUUCUUCCAUACAACUUCGUCUAAAAAGGUGUAGAAUGAGUUUCCUGCAAACAAUAGAUAUUAUAUUCCUUCUCUUUUAGCCAGAUAAAGACGGAUCGUCUUGUUAUUAUCUGCAAAGCCAUUACAAUUUUAACUAGCUAUACUUAUUUCACCUCUUACCAUGUUUGUAAACUUACCAUUAAGUACCAUGAUAAUUGAGUGUCCAUAUAGCUGUACCAUAAUAUUUGCACUGUUAAGCAUAUUGUAGCUGCGACUAAGUAAACCUCUAAUUGUCCUUC
RNAcentral lists this long non-coding RNA (9445 nucleotides) under Salmo salar (Atlantic salmon). Its description in RNAcentral is "lncRNA (ENSSSAG00000095962.1)". The record is from RNAcentral. Lineage: Eukaryota; Metazoa; Chordata; Actinopteri; Salmoniformes; Salmonidae.